Molecule: long non-coding RNA, 5293 nt
Organism: Homo sapiens (human)
Lineage: Eukaryota; Metazoa; Chordata; Mammalia; Primates; Hominidae
Exons: 2
Source: RefSeq, a predicted model, not a curated record
GCUUAACCAAUCCACUAGCCUCGGCUUCCCAAAGUGCUGGGAUUAGAGGUGGGAGCCACUGUGCCUGGUCUGGUAUUCAGUUUAGAGCAGAAUAUUCAUCUCCAUCACCAGUUCAAAGGUGAGUAUCUGUGUGGCUACUGUACUUGCUCUUGUUACUGAGUGGAAGCCUGGACUUGUGAACCUCUUCAGGGACCCUCCUUCUCUCAGGAGGGCAGUGGGCAGCCCUCAGUCUCCCUGGCUUAUUGGGGACAUGCUGCCUCUCAUCCUGUGAGCUCCAGUUGGAACCCUUGAGUUGUCUGAGAGGUAAGAUGGGCUGGGCCCCAUCUAAAAAGACAAUCUGCUGCUUCCUCAACACCAAUGAAUCCCAAAUUGUCAGAGCUGGAAGGACAUUUUUUGAUUACUGGUAGAUUCCACCCUACUUCUAAGGACGCUAUAGAUGGGGAGGUGGAAACUGGGGCCGAGGGAAGUCCAGGGACUUACCAACACCAUAUCUUUAAAUCUAUUAUGAUUUUUUAAAAAGUCCCUGUUUGGGAUGGAAAGGCAUGGUCUAAAUAAGCCCUCAAAGAAAAGCCAUUUUAGGACAUUUUUGCACUUCAGGACAUUGGCUUAUGGUGGGUCAGGGGAGUGGGGAGUGUGGUGUCCAGUCUCUGCUGGGUGAUGCCUUAGAUGUUGAUAUCAGGGGGGUACAUGAGCUCAGGUGUCAUGGGGUGCAUGGGGCAGUGUCCUGGAAGGAGGAUGGGCAGCAGUGGUGUAAGGAGUUCUCCGGCUCCACAGGUCCAGGGCCUGGCUCCUUGCCUGUGCCUUUGGCUGAAGCAGAGAAUGGCCCCAGCAGCUCACCCAUAUAUCAUGGGGUGGCCAAGGCACUCCUGUGCUUAGAUGUCCUGGAUUUAUGGCGUCAACUGGACAAGGUGCUGGUGCCUGUGCCUUCUGUCUCUGCUCUCCCAGCCCCAGCAGCACCAGCUCCUCCGGCUACCUGGUGCUUCUGGUCACCCAGGCCCUGCAGGCCCCAGGCCUCCUCCUCCCCAGAGCCUUCACUCAAGCCUUCCCCCUCCCUGCAGCCCCACCUGCUGUUUCCCCACCAGGGGGACCCUCCCCCGACAUCCCGCACAGCCUCCAUCCAGGCAGGGACUCCUGUGAUGAGCUGCCUGUGAGGAAGAUGCCUGGAGACUGUGUCUGAUCCAUCUCUGAACCUGGACAAGCUUGGCUUGUGGGCGGUCGAUGAGCAUCUGAGGAAUACAUGAAAGUGACUUUCAGAGGCAAUGUGGACGUCCCCAUCUGCUCCCAUCUGUUCUUCUUAACUAAGGAAAGACGGUUGAAGAUUGCAUCAUCAGACUUUCCAGUUCAGGAUGAAGUGUACUUAUGAACAGCAACCAUAUGCAGAAACUAAAGACUCAGAAAGUUCUGCAGGCUUUCUUGGAAACUAGACUCUAUACAAGAGAAAUAGAAACUAAAAGCAGCACUCAGAAUAUUACCCAAGGAUAAUGAAAGCAAAUGUCUCUCCCCAGACCCAUCAAGAGGUAAAUGUGUAUGAAGCCUCAGGGCAUGCCUGUUGGGGCAGAGGCUCCUCAGGGCUCUUGGGAGUUAAAAUGGCCAGAGAAAACCAAACCGCACCCAGCCCCUGCUCCUCCCUGACUCGGUCUCUCUGCUUUUCGUUCUUCAGUGUUACUGUGGAUAUGAUAGGUUUUAUCUCCGCCUUUUGGCUCUUUGCUUUCUUCUGUCUCAUUACUGCAUUAUUUCUUUUUCCUCCUUUGCUACCUCCUUUUGUCUUAAAUGGAUGUUUUAAAUAUAAUAUUGUAACUUCUUUACUCAUUUAAAAAAGUGUAUUUUUGAGUUAUUUUCUUUUUGGUUCUCUAGGACUUAUAUAUAUAUACCUUAAUGUGGAAUCUAUUUCAGAUUUAUACUAGCUUAAUUCCAAUAAGAUAUAGAAACUUACUCCUAUAUUGCUCCCUUCUCUUCCCUCUUUUUUUUGUGCUAUUACUGUUAUACAUAUGACAUCUACGUAUGUUACAAACCCAACAAUACACUGAUGUAAUGAUUGCUUUAUAUGAUCUCAUGUCUUUUAAAGAAGCCAAGAGACCAAAGAACACAAAUGGAUUUAUUGGGUUUUAAAAAUAGUAACAUUAUUAUUUACCAUUUCUGAUUCUUUUCAUUUCCUCCUAUGGCUCUGAGUUACUAUCUGCUCUCUUUUUCUUAUGCCACUUCCUUUUCUACCCCUUUUGCCACUUUCGUUUCCACUCCUUCUGUUGUAUUGUUAUUGUAAAAUAUAUUACAUUCUUGUCCCUACAGGCCCAAUAAUGCAAUUUUGUAGAUACUAUUUUAUGCAAUUUUUUUUACAUUAGCUAAGAGGAGGCAUACAGAAAAACUUAGUUUUUGUUUUAUCAUUACCUGUAUCAUUACCUUUACUGGAGCUCUUUGAUUUUUCCUGUUUAUUCAGAUCACUUUCUGGUGUCACUUACUUUUAGCCUGAAGAACUUCCUUUCAUACUACUUGUAAGGUGGGUUUGCCAGUGCUGAAUUCCCUUAGCUUUAUCAGUAAGAACAGUAAAAUACUAUGGCGCUCAACUCCAGAGUUUCCAUUUGGCUCUUUUUAGCUUUACAAAUUAUUUCUAAUUUCUAUGUCUUCAUUAAUGUUCUCUAUUUGGUGAGUCAUCGUUAUUGUACCUUCUUUUAAUUCUUUAAACAUGGCUCCUUUUGGUUUUUGACCACAUUUAUGAUAGCUGCUUUGAGUUUAUGUCUGUUAAAUUCCAACACCUGGAAGCCCUUAAAGGCAAAGGCAGUUUCUGUUGCCUGCAUCUUCCCCCACCCUCACUGGGUGUGCAUUACACUCCUUUCUUUAAGUUUCAUAUUUCUUUUGUGAAAAAUUGGACAUUUUAGGUAAUAGCAGAUCUGGGUACUGAUCUCUACUCCUCAGGAGUUUGUUAUUGUUUUCUUGUCUGCUAGGUCAUUUAUUUAGUGGCUUAGCUGUAUUAUCCAGUGAAGUCUAUAUCCCCCAAAGUGUGCAGUCCCCGAAUGCUCCCCUGAAGGCAUAGGACAUCACCUGAACUCUCCUCCUCUAGGGUUAACCAUGUUUUUGGUGGAGGUCUCUGACUGUCUGUUUCUCUGAUAUCACUGUUGAACUUCUACCUGCCCUGCCUCUAGUAUUCCAUCCAGGUGUUAUCCUCCACUAAUUGCCAGCUGAUUGCUGUUUUUAUUGUCAGGCCCUGAAGAAUAAAUUGUCCCCUAGUCUGAUCCAAUUAAUGUCUUUCUGCUUAGCAGGACUUUCUUUGAAGCUGUCUUUGAGACUUACUGACAGCCUCAGGAGAACUCUUCUUAGCUCUCGCUCUCUUUUUCUCUCUGUUGAAUUUCUAGCUGAUCCUAUUUCACUCGUUGCCAUCAUGGAGCUACCAGCUUACUUUUUUUUUUUUUCCUGAGAUGGAGUCUCGCUCUGUCACCCAGGCUGGAGUAGAGUGGCACUAUCUCGGCUCACUGCAACCUCUGCCUUCUGGGUUCAAGCAAUUCUCCUGCCUCAGCCUCCUGAGUAGCUGGGAUUACAUCCACCACCACACCCAGCUAAUUUUUGUAUUUUUAGUGGAGACUGAGUUUCACCCUGUUGGCCAGGCUGGUCUCGAACUCCUGACAUCAGGUGAUCCACCCACCGCGGCCUCCCAAAGUGCCGGGAUUACUGUUAAUUGCUGAUCAUGAAAAUCUCAACUGUCUUUGAUCAUGCCCUUAGGCAUUUCCCUAUGCUCUAUUCUAAAUGAAGUCAGUUCCACUGGGGAGAGCUAUAGAGCUCUCUGUCCUUACUGAUUUUCUCUCCCUCUGAGAAGCUCUGUGCCACUGCUCUGAAGCUGGGGGUCAGGAUGGUAGCUUGCUUCUCUUGGAGUAACACCCUGCUCCACCCUUGGGGUGAUGAGCAUAGUCAGUAGACUCUGGUCUUCUUGGCUUCCCUAUCCUGGCAUUGAAUCUCCAUCCUAUAAGCAAGCUGGUUUGAGGACAGUUGGGCCCAGAAUUUUCACCCUGCUGUACCUGUGUAGAGCUUCUGCCCUAUGAAUGGGGUUGGGUGGAAGAAGAGAUCCCAAGAGUUCUCAGCCACAUUUGCCAGAAUUAGAGAUUCUUCAACACAGAGCUGAGGUGGGGGAAUGAGAAAUGUUGGUGUCUUGCCUCUCCUAGCGAAUAAUUAUAAUUCUAGAUCAGAAAGUAGGGGGAGAAGGAGCCUCAUCUUCUUGACUCCACCUGCCCAGAGUACAGGUCUCAUCACACAAGGGGUUUGUUGAAAGAGUAGGUUGGUCCUCAGAUGCCAUAGUACGUUACCGUUCUUUUUGAGAUUAUUCAGAUUCUCCUGAAUAGUGUUUCUCCAUUUGCUGUAUGCCUUUGGGACAAUUUCCAGAAAUUUUAAAUGAUUGUUUUUGUUAAAAAAUUUUUUUCCUCCGCCAAUUAUUGUCAUUUUGCCGAGAAUAACGUUUGCAGAGCUCCUCAUGCCACCAUUCCAGAAGUGCUUGCCUUUGUUUUUGAAAGAUAUUUUUGUCGGGCAUGGGAGUCUAAGUUUACACUUUUUGUAUGGUACUUUAAAAGUUUUGCUUCACUAUCUUCUUGCUUGCCUUGUUUCUGCUGUCAUCCUUGUCUUGUUUCCUUUCUGUGUUUCAUGCCAUUUUCCUCUGGCUAAUUUCAAGAUUUUCUAGUUGCAAGUAUUUUGGUUAUAAUAUGCCUUUGUGUAUUUUUUCAUGUUUCUUUGGAGCUUCUUGAGUUUCUUGGAUCUGUGAUCUUAUAGCUUUCAUUAAAUUUGGAAAAAUAUUUGGCCCUGUUUUUUUCAGACCUUUUUUUUCCUGUUAACCCUCCUACAUGAUCUUGAUUUAGCAACUCCAACUCCAUGUUUAUUAGGUCGCUUGAAGUUAUUCCUCAGCUCACUGGUGUUUUUUAUGUUUUUGAGUGAAAACUUCACUUUUACUUCACUUCAUUUUCAAUAGUUUCUAUGGCUAUGUUUUCAAAUUCACUAUUCUUUUUCUACUUCAGUGUCUAACCUGUUGUUAAUCUCAUCCAGUGCAUAUUUCAUAUCAGUUAUUACAGUUUUCACCUCUAGAAGUUUACCUUGGGGUUUUAAAAAUACUUCUGUGUUACUAUUUUAAAGUAUUAAAUCUUCCCUUUAGCUUUUUGAAUAUAGUUAUAGUAAUUAUUUAUAUGUUUUUAUGUCCUUGUGUGCUAAUUUUGGUCCGUUCUGGGUCACUUUUGAUUGAUUGAUUUUACACCUUAUUAUAAAUUGUAUUAUCCUGCUUCUUUGCCUACCUUAUAAUUUUUGAUUAAAUAACAUGUAUUGUGAA